Molecule: ribosomal RNA, 408 nt
Filed under: Pseudomonas sp. DJ2
Lineage: Bacteria; Pseudomonadati; Pseudomonadota; Gammaproteobacteria; Pseudomonadales; Pseudomonadaceae
Description: bacterial SSU rRNA
Rfam family: Bacterial small subunit ribosomal RNA
Source: RNAcentral
UACACAUGCAAGUCGAGCAGUAGAGAGCAGCCAAUUCUCUUGAGAGCGGCGGACGGGUGAGUAAAGCCUAGGAAUCUGCCUGGUAGUGGGGGAUAACGUUCGGAAACGGACGCUAAUAUCGCAUACGGAUACGGGGGAAAGCAGGGGACCUUCGGGCCUUGCGCUAUCAGAUGAGCCUAGGUCGGAUUAGCUAGUUGGUGAGGUAAUGGCUCACCAAGGCGACGAUCCGUAACUGGUCUGAGAGGAUGAUCAGUCACACUGGAACUGAGACACGGUCCAGACUCCUACGGGAGGCAGCAGUGGGGAAUAUUGGACAAUGGGCGAAAGCUUGAUCCAGCCAUGCCGCGUGUGUGAAGAAGGUCUUCGGAUUGUAAAGCACUUUAAGUUGGGAGGAAGGGUUGUAGAUUA